CUCUUUUAGUACAAAAUUUACACUGGACUAAUGAAGACAUUUUACUUGUAACAAGAAAACAAGUUCGGUGACACCAUGUUUUCUUUUUAUUUUCUUAAAACAUAUUAUGAAACCUAUCUUCUCACAAUUUAUUUCAAAAUUCCAUCUCAUAGUAUUUUUUAAUGCACACUAAUGUGGUUACCAAGCAUAAGUCACCGAAAGGCAUUCACCAUUAGCAAAACUCAUACCGCAUAGUAAGCUUUAAAAGGUCCUGGUAGGGAAAAUGUGAUAUAAAUCAAACUCGAAAAUCCAAGGCCCAAUUUAUGAUGCAAUAACAAACGAACAAUAAUCGACGCAAAACCCUGAAUCUCAAACGCCCUCAAUUUCUCACAUGCGCAGAAUAUAGUGAGAUGAGAUAUGUUUGUGAGCGAUAAACUCUUCCCCUACGCUGGUUUUGUAACACGACAACAUAAGAACAAACUUUAAAAAUCAAAUGGGAAUGACUGAACUCAUCAUAUUACCGAGGAACACAGC
This 513-nucleotide long non-coding RNA is filed under the name Mytilus galloprovincialis (Mediterranean mussel). Lineage: Eukaryota; Metazoa; Mollusca; Bivalvia; Mytilida; Mytilidae. The record is from RNAcentral.